GUGGGGAAUCUUGCGCAAUGGGCGAAAGCCUGACGCAGCCAUGCCGCGUGGAUGAUGAAGGUCUUAGGAUUGUAAAAUCCUUUCACCGGUGAAGAUAAUGACUGUAGCCGGAGAAGAAGCCCCGGCUAACUUCGUGCCAGCAGCCGCGGUAAUACGAAGGGGGCUAGCGUUGCUCGGAAUUACUGGGCGUAAAGGGAGCGUAGGCGGACAUUUAAGUCAGGGGUGAAAUCCCGAGGCUCAACCUCGGAACUGCCUUUGAUACUGGGUGUCUUGAGUGUGAGAGAGGUGAGUGGAACUCCGAGUGUAGAGGUGAAAUUCGUAGAUAUUCGGAAGCACACCAGUGGCGAAGGCGACUCACUGGCUCAUUACUGACGCUGAGGCUCGAAAGCGUGGGGAGCAAACAGGAUUAGAUACCCUGGUAGUCC
This 425-nucleotide ribosomal RNA is filed under the name uncultured bacterium. RNAcentral's name for it is "partial 16S ribosomal RNA". It matches the Rfam family "Bacterial small subunit ribosomal RNA", at positions 354 to 796 of the family's 1533-position model. The record is from RNAcentral.